CUGCGAGUGAAGUGUUGUCCUCUCUUUGAGGCGUCUUCUUAGGCACAAGGAGAAGACUCAGCGUUUGCCCUUGUAUGGGAAAUGGCCUACACUUGAGGAAGUGUGGACUCUGAUGAGUCACCGGGUUUCUGUUGCGCGGAGGCUGGAUGACUCACCCGAGAUAUCAGAUGCAUUCCACCAGCCCCCACAAACCAGCGACAGUCAAGCUGGACAAGUGUCACCUGCCUCGUCAGUGAGCUGUCGACGGGUGUCACCUGCCUCGUCAGUGAGCUGUGUUGGGUUGUCUAGUUCCUAAGACUUCUAGACCAGACCUGCUCGACAGGCGUUCUCCUGACACCCUUCCGCACUUGCACCUGGCCUCUUACAUCACAGAGCACCCUUUCCUGAGGCCUUCCUCUGAAUCAAAGAAGCAAGAUGACAAAAGGAACAUCAUCCUUUGGAAAUCGUCGCAAUAAGACGCACAUUCUGUGCCUCCGCUGCUGUGGCUCUAAGGCCUACCACCUUCAGAAGUUGACUUGUGGCAACCGUGGUUGCCCUGCCAAGUGCAACAGACAGGAUAACUGGAGCGCCAAGCUAAGAGAGGAAACGCUACCGGGCUGGGCUGGUGAGGUAUCCAAAGAUUGUCUACCACAGAUUCAGACACGGGUUCCGUGAAGGAACAACACCUAAACCUAAGAGGGCAGCUGUUGCAGCAACCAGUUCUUCUUGAGGAUUCGAUCAGUCAUAAAAUAAAUGUUCUGGUUUAAAAAUAAUAGUUUACUCGAUUUGCUGGCUUGCUUGCUUGCUUUCUUCCUUCCUUCCUUCCUUCCUUCUUUUCUUUCCUUCUUUCUUUCUUUCUUUUCUUUCUUUCUUUCAAGGUAUGGUCUCACUAUGUAGCCUUGGCAGGCUCAAAACUUGCUGGGUAGACCAGGCUAACCUCAGACUCUCAGACACAUUUCCCUCUGUCUCCUGAGCUCUGGGAUUAAAGGCCUGUUCCACCACACUUAGUUUUGGUUUCUUUAUUUUUUUAUCACUGAUUGAUUGUAUUUUUUGAGAUAUGUAGCCCAGGCCGGUUGCUAAACCCACUACAUAGCUGAGGGUGGCCUUGAAUAAUUCUGAUCCUUCUCCCUCCACUCCCAAGGCUGGGAUGCAAUUGUGAGCUGCCAUGUGUGGUUUGUGUGUGUGUGUGUGUGUGUGUGUGUGUGUGUGUGUGUGUGUGUGUGUUAUUUUCCUUAUGGCUAUGUGAAAACUUCCCAUCCCAACCUGUACUAGGGGAUUUUAUCUACUUGCCAUCUUUUUUUGUCCAAGAACUUGUCAUAUUCAGUAUGAUAACCAAGUGGAUUGGAGACCUGACUUAAUCCUGGUCUCCAGGAAAAACAAACAACAACAUUAAAUCUGCCUGAUGUUAAAGCACUUAGAGGCAGAGGCAGGCAGAUCUCUGUGAGUUCAAGGCCAGCCUCUGCUACAUAAUCAAGUCCCAGGCCAGCCAGGAUUACAUAGUAAGACCCUGUCUUAAAAGACAGAAAUGAAAAAGGUACGUGGUAGAGAUACAUGUUGAUGUCCCAUUCUAGACCCCAUCCAUCAGUUAUACAGGUACUGGUUCUAACAGGAACCUCUUCGAACUCCCCAGGGAGUGUAGAAGUAUAGGGCUAUUUUAUUUUUAUGAAAUGAAACAGAGACCCCCUGUCUGCAGGGCCCUCUUGCUUCUGGGCGAGGCCCUAAGUGGCAGGGUUGUGUUUGCGCAGGCUGGGGGUGGCCAGCCUGCACUCUUCUUCCCUGAGUCCCAGGUGGGCCCGGUCCUUUGCUCUGUUAUUACCGCUGGCAGACUGUGCCGCUGGCAGAAGGGACUCAAGUCUUUCCAGUUCUCCUGGUCUCUUCCAGCGACUCAUCCCUCAUCCGACUCACCUGCUGAUGCUCGUGGGGAGUGGGAGGCGCCUGAGCCUGUUACCUAGAGUCCCCGGGAGCAGAGGAGGCAGGAAGAGGGCUGGGCGAGAGCCGGCUGGACUGGCAGAGCUGAGGAAGUGAGUCUCUAACACGGCUGUGGAGAAGUAGGGCUGUAGGGAGGAGGUCAGGGUAUGUUGGGGGUGGAUGCUGGGAGUUCACUAGGGCUCUGAUACGACUUUGGAACAUUCUGACCUACUCUGCCCCUCCCAAGCAGUUUCCCUCUGCUAUUCUGUCGUCCAGAGGUGGACCAAGUAGCAGAGCUUCGGUCGCUGCCUUAGACAGCUGCACCAGGUUCCCCUGGUCUCCUUCCAGGUCUUUGGCUUUCCCCUGCAGGAGGUUCCUUGUCUGCACUGCCCUUUGUCACAUCUGCACACCUCCAAGGAAGCCUGUGCUCUAGAGAGAGCACACACACUCUGCGUGCUAACCUGGGCUGUUUUCUUGAUCUUGGUAGACCCGUCUCUCUGUGUCUGUAAAGUGACACUAACCUCCUCAGGGUAGGGGAGCUCAGUAAGAUGCCAGGUGUGACAGGGGCGCCAAUGGAGGGAUGGUCAGGAGGAUUACUGGACCUGCCUGUGCUUCCUCAUUCUCCUCAGUGUCCACAUGGAGUGACACGGACGCUGGAGGCCAGUGACCAUAGGGGACUGAAUGUCAUGCCCUGGGCCCAUAAUAAAAUACAUAAAAGUCAGCACACCUGCUGGCUUUCUGCUCACCACAGGUGAACCCAUUCCUUCUGUUGUGCAUGGUUUGAGAUGUUUUUCCCAAGAGAUGUGAACUUCGGGGGUGGGGUGGUCUGAUUCACCUUUGGACCCCCAAAGCUUCUGCACUACACUUGUUACAGUGCUCGGUGGCCCCAGAACCGUCAGAAGAAAACAGAAAGGACCUCUUUGUUUCAGAAACAAGAGUCAAACUUUGGAGUACAGCAGGCCCAGCUCAGAUUUGUGCACACGUGAGUGUGACCGAGAGCAAGAUGGCGCAUCUCCCUGAGCCUCAGUUCUUUGUCUAAAAAUAGCCAUAAUAAUAACCACCUCUGCGGGUUGUUUGAGGGAUUAGAGAUGAUGUCAGACACAAACCCCAGCACCCCGAGGCCCCGUGCAUAGUAGGAGCUCAAUAAAUGGAGGUAGUGAUUACCUGUGGUCACAGGACUGUUUGUGCUAUGUGUGAACUCUUGAGUUCAUAGCAAGUGACACACAGCUUCCCUUGGUGACGCGGGAACUCCUUCACAUGAAUGUUGGGGUCUCACAAUGGUUUCUACGGUUGUGUUGACAGCAUCUUUUUUUUUUUUUUUUUUUUUGGUUCUUUUUUUUGGAGCUGGGGACCGAACCCAGGGCCUUGCGCUUCCUAGGCAAGCGCUCUACCACUGAGCCAAAUCCCCAACCCCGACAGCAUCUUUUAGUAGCCUGGGUACUCAAUGGCCCUCACCUGCCAUCCACUGUGGGCAGCUACUGCCUGGGUUUCUUGUCUGAUGACAAGAGGGGUUGGGGGAGAGAUUGGAAGGGUCCGUGUCCACUAUCAGCUCUCCCUCAAGUCUGCUGUUGAAGGGAAAUUGGUGUUUGGGUUGGCGCAGACAGCAUAGUGACCUGGCUGCUACGGCUCCCAACGAACACUCGUCACCUUUAAGAUUCCUGUUGAUGUUCCAAGACAAAGUCUCAUUGCAUUUUAAAAAUUUGAUUUGGACAGGAAUAAAUGCAGCCAUUUUAGAGAAGGCCCUCUGUCUAGGGGUCAUGGUUUCAGGUACCAAGUCCACAUCAGUCCAAAAAUACUGUAUUAUGGGUAUUGAGAUGGAGGAGGAGGGGGAAGGACAGCAAGCACACAAUCAUCCAGCUUUAUAGACGAGGAGAAAACUGGCUAACAAAUGCUAGGGACCCAAAGAAAGCUAGGAAGACCUGAUGUGUUGUGGCUUUAGAAUUACAUUUAUUUAUCUUUAUUUAUUUAUUUAUUUAUUUAUUUAUUUAUUUAUUUAUGGUGCACACACAUGCACACAUGCAUGCAUCACAGUGCACACAUGGAGGUCAGAGGACACCUUGCAAGGGCCAGACCUCUCCUUCCAUUGUAUUUGUCCCAGGGAUUGAACUCAGUGCCUCACCAUGUUGAAUCAUUCCACUGACUCGAGGGAGAUCUCGUGUGUUUCGUACUUGCUGUCCCCAGCCUGGGUCUCCAUACUUGACUCAAUUAAUCCUCUGGCUCUGAUUCUGUUAUGGCCCCCUUCUGUCCCCAAGGGGAGCUGCAGGAGGGGGUAGGGUACACAAGGCAGUAUAAAACACAUCAAUGGGUCAGAAGAGCCAGUAUGGCCCUUCCUGUCUGAAAGCCUGGGCAGGAGCACAGGUAUCCAAACAGAAUCCAGUAAUGUGGGGAGGGCUGGCAGGGUGAGAAGGAUGUCUGCUGUCACCGGGGGGAGUAGACCCAGAGGAUGGGUCAUGGAACCCCUGCCUGCAGAGAGCCAGGCUUUCACUGCCCAAACACGAGCCAGGCACAGCCUCCCAGCUGACCCACACAUUCUGCUGUUUGCUCUUCAUUCCGUCCAUUCUUCAGUAGGUCCUUCCAGCUCUGCCUUUUUAGGGAUGGCCUUUAGGCCUAGAAGUAAUGGCCACAGUACUUUUACCCAGUCUCAGGGAACUGUGCGUAAAGGAGCCUUGGAGAUUCUUUUUGCCCUGCCUGAACUCAGGAUUGAAACCUUGUAGUGACGCCCGGCAGUGGUUCCCAUGCUUCCUCAGUCAGCAGUCCUGUGGGCACCAUUCCUCCCUCCCUUGGUUAGGCCAUGUCAGGACUGGGAAGUCCUUAAGUUUUUCAGCACCCAUCUAACCCUGGCCUCUCACUGCCCAGCUGAGGAAAGGACAAAUUCAAUGGAAGGAGACAACUGGUCCUUGCAAGGUGUCCUCUGACCUCCAUGUGUGCACUGUGAUGCAUGUAUGUAUGCAUGUGAUGUGGCAGGAAGGGCCACAUUGGGCUGGCAAGAUGACUCAGGAUAAAGGCAUUUGUCACCAAGUCUGAAUAUCCCUUUGAUGUCCUGGACCUAUAGCAUGGUAGAAAGGAAUGACUGGCCCCUAAAAGUUAUCCUCAGCCCUCAGUGUGCUUCCUGUGAACAUACAUGCAUGCAUGCAUGCAUGCGUGUACACACACACACACACACACACACACACACAUUAAA
Non-coding RNA from Rattus norvegicus (Norway rat), 5068 nucleotides. Lineage: Eukaryota; Metazoa; Chordata; Mammalia; Rodentia; Muridae. The record is from RefSeq and is a predicted model, not a curated record.